This 492-nucleotide ribosomal RNA is filed under the name uncultured bacterium. RNAcentral describes it as "partial 16S ribosomal RNA". It matches the Rfam family "Bacterial small subunit ribosomal RNA", at positions 29 to 507 of the family's 1533-position model. The record is from RNAcentral.
AGUGAACGCUGGCGGUAGGCCUAACACAUGCAAGUCGAACGGCAGCACAGUAAGAGCUUGCUCUUACGGGUGGCGAGUGGCGGACGGGUGAGGAAUACAUCGGAAUCUACUUUUUCGUGGGGGAUAACGUAGGGAAACUUACGCUAAUACUGCAUACGACCUACGGGUGAAAGCAGGUGAUCUUCGGACCUUGCGCGAUUGAAUGAGCCGAUGUCGGAUUAGCUAGUUGGCGGGGUAAAGGCCCACCAAGGCGACGAUCCGUAGCUGGUCUGAGAGGAUGAUCAGCCACACUGGAACUGAGACACGGUCCAGACUCCUACGGGAGGCAGCAGUGGGGAAUAUUGGACAAUGGGCGCAAGCCUGAUCCAGCCAUACCGCGUGGGUGAAGAAGGCCUUCGGGUUGUAAAGCCCUUUUGUUGGGAAAGAAAAGCAGCAGGUUAAUACCCCGCUGUUCUGACGGUACCCAAAGAAUAAGCACCGGCUAACUUCGUG